RNAcentral lists this ribosomal RNA (460 nucleotides) under uncultured bacterium. RNAcentral describes it as "partial 16S ribosomal RNA". It matches the Rfam family "Bacterial small subunit ribosomal RNA", at positions 338 to 795 of the family's 1533-position model. The record is from RNAcentral.
CCUACGGGUGGCAGCAGUGAGGAAUAUUGGUCAAUGGACGAGAGUCUGAACCAGCCAAGUAGCGUGAAGGAUGACUGCCCUAUGGGUUGUAAACUUCUUUUAUAAAGGAAUAAAACGAGGCACGUGUGCCUUUUUGCAUGUACUUUAUGAAUAAGGAUCGGCUAACUCCGUGCCAGCAGCCGCGGUAAUACGGAGGAUCCGAGCGUUAUCCGGAUUUAUUGGGUUUAAAGGGAGCGUAGAUGGGUUGUUAAGUCAGUUGUGAAAGUUUGCGGCUCAACCGUAAAAUUGCAAUUGAUACUGGCAGUCGUGAGUACAGUUGAGGUAGGCGGAAUUCGUGGUGUAGCGGUGAAAUGCUUAGAUAUCACGAAGAACCCCGAGUGCGAAGGCAGCUUACUAAACUGUGACUGACAUUGAUGCUCGAAAGUGUGGGUAUCAAACAGGAUUAGAUACCCGAGUAGUC